Panicum hallii is the source of this 770-nucleotide long non-coding RNA. RefSeq lists it as uncharacterized. The transcript is spliced from 3 exons. The record is from RefSeq and is a predicted model, not a curated record. Lineage: Eukaryota; Viridiplantae; Streptophyta; Magnoliopsida; Poales; Poaceae.
UCCCCCAAUAGAUAUAUCCUAGAUGGCACCCGUUUCUUGUGCUACUAGUACUGGUAAUGGUCUUUCCUGUUGAUCAUGGCAACAUAAUCAGUAUGGAGCAGGUAGAAUGUACGAGCACCUCCCAGAAUGACACGCAGAGAACAUAAUCUGAGGCUGGACAUCAGAGCACUGGAAUCCCAAAGUCAGCUGCAGUUGAUGAGUCACUGACUGGAGAGUUGUAUAAAGUUGGAAUGACUCUCAGGGAGCAUGAGGUGGAAUUGGAUAACAUUCAUGCUGAGAUGAAGAGUGUUACGAAGCGGUUUGUCAUUGCUAUUGUUGGGCUGCCUCUUCUGGCAUGGGUUCUGAAGACUUACUGAUAAGGCAGACACCAAGACUGCCCAGAUGGUUUGCCUUGCUCGUAUUGGAUUCCCCUUAACUUAAGAGGAAAGCUAAAGCACACCCGGGUGCUUCAAAGUUGAGGAGAGGGGGAGGGGGGAAUAUAUCACCUUGAAGAUCCAGGAGCCGCGUACCCCUACGGCGACCUUAUCCUUGGUGAUGGCCGGGGUCCACGAUGGGGACUAAGGCUUCCUUGAGCGAGUGCACGUACGCAAUGCGGUCGGCACCAGGCAGCAGCAAGUGCAUCCCGGGGGGCAGCGUCUUCCUGUAUCUGCCGAACCGCUCAACCACGAACAAGUUCUUCUCGGGGACAAUGGCGAAGCCCCAGUUGACGGGUGGGUCUUGCCUGCUCGUCAGACAAAAGAUAAGGAAACGAGCAAUAAUAGUUCAUACUC